GUUUUAAUUUUCCCGUUGGAAAUACUAGCCUUCAUUUUCACACACAUUUUAAUCUCUGUCCACGAGAAUUUGGUUAGAAUGACACAAGAAAGGUUCAAUUGAUAUAUACCACAGUCAUAACUGGAAAUGCAGAACCUAAAACAUCAGAAAUGACCUACGUUAAAAACCAGUGAUGGCAUAUAAAACUUUCAACAUCAAAUAUAAGAUGUUAUAAUAUGUACCUUCCAUCAUUCCACAGGGCAAUAUCAGUAAGAGGUCCUGCGACUAAAUUUUCUUCCACUAAGCAUUCUAUGGAUAUAUUACAAUAGUCCAAAUAAACAUAUCAUUAUCAAAAAGUUUUACUAAAGUUGCAACUGUUUGUUUUUUCAGUAAUGGACAAGGUUGCAUAAUUAGACAAUCUCUAGUUCAGGGGGGAGGGAUAUUUUCAUAAACAAAGUUCUUUGAAAAAAUAAAUUUGGCAACAUACUCUGA
Molecule: long non-coding RNA, 471 nt
Organism: Xenia sp. Carnegie-2017
Lineage: Eukaryota; Metazoa; Cnidaria; Anthozoa; Malacalcyonacea; Xeniidae
Exons: 2
Source: RefSeq, a predicted model, not a curated record